ACGCCGGUAGUUCAAUUGGUAGAGCAUCGGUCUCCAAAACCGACUGUUGAGGGUUCAAGUCCUUCCCGGCGUGCCA
This 76-nucleotide transfer RNA is filed under the name Atopobium deltae. RNAcentral's name for it is "tRNA-Trp". It matches the Rfam family "tRNA". Rfam says of the family: Transfer RNA (tRNA) molecules are approximately 80 nucleotides in length. Their secondary structure includes four short double-helical elements and three loops (D, anti-codon, and T loops). Lineage: Bacteria; Bacillati; Actinomycetota; Coriobacteriia; Coriobacteriales; Atopobiaceae. The record is from RNAcentral.